This 474-nucleotide long non-coding RNA is filed under the name Monodelphis domestica (gray short-tailed opossum). RNAcentral describes it as "lncRNA (ENSMODG00000039087.1)". Lineage: Eukaryota; Metazoa; Chordata; Mammalia; Didelphimorphia; Didelphidae. The record is from RNAcentral.
GAGGAAGGCUGGGAGAGAGGGAGGAAACAGGAGGAAGGGAGGGUAGGCAAAAAGAGAAGAUAGCUGCCUGAUCUGUUGGUUAUCAGUUACCCAUCUAAUAUAGUCUAUUAUUAUCAUCUAUUACAGAGGGAAGAGGAGAGGGAGACAAUAUGAAUCAUAACUUUUGAAAACUUAUGUAUAAAUUUGUAACUGGAAUAAAAUGAAGAUAUUUUUUUAAAAGUGACCUCAUCAACUCUUACAGAUUCAACUAUAUCUAUGCAGAAAAAUCCCAGAUCUAUAUAUGCAGCCAUAACCUUUCUCCGGAUCUCUAAUCUCUAGUAAUUACCAGAAGCCAUAUGGACAGGUCCAACUAGAUGCCAAUAGCUGGCAAAAGAUGACAACUGAUUGGAAAGAGUCAGUGUUGGAGGGGUUGUGGAAAAUAUGAACACAUGCAUUCUUGGUGAAACUGUGAAGAGCACUUCCAUUUUGGAAAGA